CCCCUUCUCCCCCUGCGGCCCCUGCGGUCCCCGCCACCGGAUGCAAUAGAAAAGGAAACCACAAAGCAUGAUGGCAACAAUGACUAAACCAACAAUAACCCACGUUGGGGUGUUAUUGUCAUUGGAUGAUACAGAAUUCGGAUCGAUCCAUGCCGAUGGAGGUGGAAAGUACUGGAAACUCGGAUAAGUUUGUGGAUAGUUAUUGUUCUCCAUCAAGAAAACUCUGUGGAAUUAGUUCAAUGUGAGCAUUGAGUCUACAAACAUAUUAUGAAGCAUCCAUCCAUGAGACAGUUUACCUUUUUAUCAUGAUGAAUUGAUUGUAUGAUCUGAGUGCGAGAUCAAAAUGAUUCAACACAUAAUUCAGCGAGAUAUAAUACAAGUGGAAGUAGGUGCUUGCACAUAUACCUUCACAAGAAGAACCGAGCAAAUUGGUGAAUAAUGUUGCGCCAAUGCUAACGCAACCUGCAAAGAAGUGAGAAUUUUCGCCUGGUGGAGAACAGCCUUAUAUAUGCCCCACGAUGCUUCCUCCCUCCUUCCCUCCCUCACGUGGUGGGUUUUUUUUUUUUGACUGAAAGAUAAUAAUUUUCAAAACUAACCAACUAACG
RNAcentral lists this long non-coding RNA (605 nucleotides) under Eucalyptus grandis. RNAcentral describes it as "long non-coding RNA (EGRA_LNC000714)". Lineage: Eukaryota; Viridiplantae; Streptophyta; Magnoliopsida; Myrtales; Myrtaceae. The record is from RNAcentral.